UGAAUCAGUAGCUUGCUACUAUGCUGGGGUAGACGGGAAAGUCCUAGCUGAAAAGCUAGAGUGCCGGUACCUGUACCCCUAUCAUACCCUUGUCUUUUGAGUACUUAUGUUUCCUUGGUAGGCUUGCCUGCCAAAAGGACAAACUUGAAACCUAUUUAAAUAUCAAUCAGCGUCUGAUAAUAAAUUAAUGAAUUA
RNAcentral lists this unclassified non-coding RNA (195 nucleotides) under soil metagenome. Its description in RNAcentral is "partial internal transcribed spacer 1". The record is from RNAcentral.